AGUGAACGCUGGCGGCAGGCCUAACACAUGCAAGUCGAACGGUAACAGGAUACAGCUUUCUGUUUCGCUGAGGAGUGUCGGACGGGGGUGAGAUGUCUGGGAGACUGCCUUUUUUCGUGGGGGAACUACUGGGAACGCUUACUAAUACCGCAUAACCGCGCUAGGCCAAAAAGGGGGGGCCCCUCGGCUCUUGCCCGCUUGUUUGCCCCGAUGGGGUUAGCUUUUUUGGGGGGUAACGGCUCACCAAGGCGACGAGCUCCAGCUGGGCUGAGAGGAUGAUCAGCCACACUGGAACUGAGACACGGUCCAGACUCCUACGGGAGGCAGCAGUGGGGAAUAUUGGACAAUGGGCGCAAGCCUGAUGCAGCCAUGCCGCGUGUAUGAAGAAGGCCUUCGGGUUGUAAAGUCCUUUCAGCGGGGAGGAAGAGAAUAAAGUUAAUACCCUGCCUUACUGACGGUACCCGAAGAAGAAGCACCGGCUAACUUCGUG
Molecule: ribosomal RNA, 490 nt
Filed under: uncultured bacterium
Lineage: Bacteria
Description: partial 16S ribosomal RNA
Rfam family: Bacterial small subunit ribosomal RNA
Source: RNAcentral